GACGAACGCUGUCGGCGUGCCUAACACAUGCAAGUCGAACGGGACCGGGGGCAACUUCGGUUCAGCGGCGGACGGGUGCGUAACACGUGAGGAACAUGACCUUCGGCGGGGGAUAGCCGGCCCAACGGCCGGGUAAUACCGCGUACGACCAUUCGGGGACAUCCCUGGCUGGUGAAAGCAGCAAUGCGCCGAUGGAGUGCCUCGCGGCCGAUCAGCUAGUUGGUGGGGUAACGGCCUACCAAGGCAACGACGGGUAGCUGGUCUGAGAGGAUGGCCAGCCACAUUGGGGCUGAGACACGGCCCAGACUCCUACGGGAGGCAGCAGUGGGGAAUAUUGCGCAAUGGACGAAAGUCUGACGCAGCGACGCCGCGUGUGGGAUGAAGGUCUUCGGAUUGUAAACCACUGUCGGGAGGGACGAAUACGCCGCAAGGCGGGUGACGGUACCUCCAAAGGAAGCACCGGCUAACUCCGUGCCAGCAGCCGCGGUAAUACGGAGGGUGCGAGCGUUGUCCGGAAUCACUGGGCGUAAAGUGCGCGUAGGCGGCCUGAUAAGUAGGGGGUGAAAUCCUGCGGCUUAACCGCAGGGCUGCCUUCUAAACUGUCAGGCUCGAGCACAGUAGAGGCAGGUGGAAUUCCCGGUGUAGCGGUGGAAUGCGUAGAGAUCGGGAAGAACAUCAUUGGCGAAAGGCGGCCUGCUGGGCUGUUGCUGACGCUGAGGCGCGACAGCGUGGGGAGCAAACAGGAUUAGAUACCCUGGUAGUCCACGCCGUAACGAUGGGCACUAGGCGUCGGGGGGAGCGACCCUCCCGGUGCCGUCGCUACGCAGUAAGUGCCCGCUGGGAGUACGGCGCAGGCUGAN
This 860-nucleotide ribosomal RNA is filed under the name uncultured bacterium. Its description in RNAcentral is "bacterial SSU rRNA". It matches the Rfam family "Bacterial small subunit ribosomal RNA", at positions 28 to 898 of the family's 1533-position model. The record is from RNAcentral.